GACGAACGCUGGCGGCGUGCUUAACACAUGCAAGUCGAGCGGUAAGGCCCUUUCGGGGGUACACGAGCGGCGAACGGGUGAGUAACACGUGGGUGACCUGCCCUCAGCUCUGGGAUAAGCCUGGGAAACUGGGUCUAAUACUGGAUAUGACUCCACGGUGCAUGUCGUGGGGUGGAAAGCCUUGUGCGGCUGAGGAUGGGCCUGCGGCCUAUCAGCUUGUUGGUGGGGNGAUGGCCUACCAAGGCGACGACGGGUAGCCGGCCUGAGAGGGCGGACCGGCCACACUGGGACUGAGACACGGCCCAGACUCCUACGGGAGGCAGCAGGUGGGGAAUAUUGCACAAUGGGCGAAAGCCUGAUGCAGCGACGCCGCGUGA
Molecule: ribosomal RNA, 377 nt
Filed under: uncultured bacterium
Lineage: Bacteria
Description: bacterial SSU rRNA
Rfam family: Bacterial small subunit ribosomal RNA
Source: RNAcentral